AACUUUACCAACAUGUCCUCUCUUACUCAUCUGGGAAUUGACUUAGGUAUUAGAGCCUCGAUCUUGGAAUCCCCUCUGGAAUAGUUUUUUAUCCAUGUUUUGUAGAGCAAGAAUCUCCAAGAAGAAAAACCGUCAAAGCAACAUCUAUGCUGGCGACUGAGAGAACUCUGACCAGAAAGCCACAUUUUCCAUUUUUCUCUCUCCCAAUGUUUAAAUAAGCCCCCCAUUGGUAAACUCAGGUCCAGUUAGAGGAAGCACAGAUCCCAAUAUUGGGUUUGGCAUCUAAGCCUAGGGAGUAUUUGGCAGUAAUAUAGUCCCACAUCGUUAAGCGCAAAUAUUUUUCCCACCUCAUGAAAUAAGAGUUUCAAAGGAUUACCGUCUCUUCGGAGACAUCCGAUAAAAUUGGAACGAUACAGAGAAGAUUAGCAUGGCCCCUGCGCAAGGAUGACACGCACAAAUCGAGAAAUGGUCCAAAUUUUUUUGAUAAUUUUUCCUUGGCUUAAUCUUCCUAAUUUUUCUUUUUCUGUUCUUUGCUUGUCUGUUCAUCUUCUUUCGAAGUUUGAAUCAUUCAGUUCUCCGUAAAUUUAUUCCGUCCUUGAAGAUCCCUUAUGCUGAGGUUUAAACUUUAUUCGGUUUCUCUUGCUUUCAGUUGUGGGGCUUGUAAAUCUGGGUAUGGAAAUCCAACUGUGGUGGAUGAAAUAUUUGAUGUAGCCUUGUCCAAGAAUUGAGAAGGUAAUUUGUGUAUAUACGGUUCCUCUAUAGGUUCGAGUUGAAAUAGAUUUAAAUAUUAGUGCAUAUCUGGCAAGAAUUAGUCUUACAAGAACUUGGAUAGAAGUUUUGAUCAAACAUGAAUGAGCAAAAUAGUGAUAGUUUUUACCAUUUUCUUGUGAAUUUGUUUCUUUAGUAUUUCCUGGAAAAAAAAAAAAAAAAUCUUUGGAAGUGGAGCCUGUAAUCAGUCAACAAUAGAAUUUUCUGAAAUUGGAGGUUUCUGGUUCACUUUGUGUCUUCAAUCAUUGCAUUCAAGGUGCACGAUGUGCUUUCUAGAGUUUUGAGCUUCAGAGUGAAGGUUUGCUUGCUCUAUAGCUUUUUAAUGAGGAAUAUCUAGAUGAAUAGAUAUGAUGCUAUCAAAAAAUUACAGGUAUAAUGGCCAAGAAGAAUCAAAGAAAGGAAAACUUUAUUGCUUCUUAAAAUUGAUAUGAAAAUGAUAUUGCCACAUAUUUAUUUCUAUUGAGCAAAUCCUAAGCCCUAUUUCCACAUAUUUGUUUCUAUUGCAGCUGCAGCCAUGGGACCUUUUUUUAUCAUUUUUUUUUUUUGGUGGGGAGAAGCUCCGCAUCUGUGCGAGGCAGGGAAGGGUAUCUGACUGAAGUUUUAUCAAUGAGACAAUGACUAAUGAACAAGGCUGAAAAUGUCAACAAGCCAAUGAGAGGCUUUGUGACAAUACAAGGGAGAUUGGAUAUUGAUAGUAGCUUCACUGCCUCAAAUAAUUCACCCUAUUCCAGGUGGACCUGGCUUGCCAAGAUAAGGACAAGUGAAAUUGAGUUUUAAUUUGUGUGAGGGGACUCCCAAUUAGUCAUUUAUUGGAUUCAGAACCAGGAGGGAGGCUUGUGGAGAUAAAUCUAGAGCUUUAUCUUCUCAAGGAGAGUUCACCUUUACUUGAAGGAGGAGAGUGGCGAACUCAAAUAGUGGGUAAACUUGCUUUGAGAGGGAGUGAAAUGGGGUGGCAGGGUGGAAGUUGGAUUUCACCUUUACUGAAUUUCUUUCCUCUAUCAAAAGAUAUCGACGGAUAAUUGCUUGGGACUAUUUUCUUGGUACGAUAUGUGGUGCUAUAUCUUUCUUAGGUGAGACCAUCUAAAGAUGUUGCUUACUCCCAUUUUUAUGAAGCAUUCCAUAUUUGUUUCUUCCUGCUGAAAAUGUCAAAGUUGUGUCAAAAAGGAGAACUUAAGCAGGCGGAAUUUACACUCUUGAGUAGCUUUGUCAAAAUGCCAAGGAAAAUCAGUACGAUGGCUGUCACACAAAAACCUAUAUAACAGAACACCAGAAUGGACUUCUCUCUUCUACUUGUUCUUUGCUGCUGUUAGGUCUGGUAGUUAUAGAAGCACCUUUCCAAGACUCAUGGACAAAUUGUGCAAGUCCACUCUAAACUCAUGUUCUUCAUGAAUUAAAAUAUGGUCAUACCAAAAUCCAUGCUCUUUGAGUUUGGCUCACCUAAUUUCUCAACAAUUUAUCAUUGUGGAUGGUGACUCUUCGACUACAGCUUGGAUACUUGCCAGUUCCAGUGAGCCAUGAAGGCUUGGUCUGUAAUCUGAAAUUCUUUUAGGAGAUAACUGUGAAAGGUGCAAGAAGGAUGACUUUUUAUUGUGUUGAAGAAUGCAGCUGAGAAGGACGAGAAGAAGAGGAAACAGAAGAGUUAGCUGACCCAAGUUUAGCUUGUUUGGGAGACUUGAGCUUUAAGUGCUUAAAUAGUAGGAGUUUAACUGAUCCAAUUUUAGCUUGUGAUGACAAUAGUUUUUUUUUUUUUUUGGAUUAUCCUCACAUGUAUGGUCUUAAUGAAAAUGUAUCCAGUUUGAGGGUUGGUGGUUAAUCAGUAGGGAUACAGCUUCUACUUCUUGAUGUCGAUUGAUUUGGGAUCCCUCAUCUUAAAUAUAUUGGCCUACAGGCCUAGUUCCUUCA
This is a long non-coding RNA of Macadamia integrifolia, 2670 nucleotides long. RefSeq lists it as uncharacterized. The record is from RefSeq and is a predicted model, not a curated record. The transcript has 4 exons. NCBI's taxonomy places the organism in Eukaryota, Viridiplantae, Streptophyta, Magnoliopsida, Proteales, Proteaceae.